Lampris incognitus (smalleye Pacific opah) is the source of this 743-nucleotide long non-coding RNA. RefSeq lists it as uncharacterized. The record is from RefSeq and is a predicted model, not a curated record. The transcript is spliced from 3 exons. NCBI's taxonomy places the organism in Eukaryota, Metazoa, Chordata, Actinopteri, Lampriformes, Lampridae.
CAGCGCUCACGUAGUUUUCUCCGAGACUGUAGACAACCGGGUAGACACGAUUGAAGGAGCGGUGUACGAGGGAACAGACGAACCGGCUAGAAUGGGAAUUAAGUACUAUUACAUAUUUCCCAACACUCCCUGGUGGGUGCUGUUCACUGACUACUCGUCUGUGUCGGUUGUGUACUCCUGCCAAAAUAUCCUCAACUUAUUCCAUCUGGACAACGCCUGGAUCAUCAGUCGCACCCGGUCCCUGCCCCCGGACGUGAUAAAGAAGGCCAGAGAGGUUUUGGUGCAGGAAGAAAUCGACAUCAGUACGAUGAUAGCAACAGACCAAAGAGGCUGUUUGCCUUAACAGGAAAACCCCAUGCUCACUCUUCUGCAGCUCAAUCUGGUCUUGGCGGGGCACUUGUUCUGGGAGAUGUUUUCAAACAGGGGUUUUGAUAUCUUAGCAGCAAUAUCAGCGAAUGUUUAUCACUACAGGUUGCUUAAGCCACAGCUGAAGUCCAAAAAAUAAAUAAAUAAAUAAGGAAAGAUUGCUUUGGCCAAACAGUAACUCAGCGUCUGCUCUUGCAACCAUUAUGCCAUAAUAUUAUACUCAAUUAAAAUAGUUUCUGCUGUAAUGGAAAUGUUAGUAAAUUUUCUACUCGUGUGUAUUCAUAGUUGAUGUUACACAUUCGGUAGAGGGGUAUUGACAAUUAAUGACAUGACCAGCAAUGUAGAAUUGUGUGUGUGUGUGUGUGAGAUAUCAGCAU